Molecule: ribosomal RNA, 293 nt
Filed under: uncultured eukaryote
Lineage: Eukaryota
Description: partial 18S ribosomal RNA
Rfam family: Eukaryotic small subunit ribosomal RNA
Source: RNAcentral
GGUUGAUCCUGCCAGUAGCAUAUGCUUGUCUCAAAGAUUAAGCCAUGCAUGUCUAAGUAUAAACCCCUUUAUACUGUGAAACUGCGUACAGCUCAUUACAUCAGUUAUUAUUUCCUUGAAUGUGACUUUCUACAUGGAUACCCGUAGUAAUUCUAGAGCUAAUACAUGCGCAAGGUCCCGACUUUUCGGAAGGGAUGUGUUUAUUAGAUUCCAAGCCAGCCACGUGGGGGCAACCCCUCGUUCCUCGGUGACUCAUAGUAACUUUACGAAUCGCUGCUUCGGCAGCCGAUGGU